RNAcentral lists this ribosomal RNA (906 nucleotides) under uncultured organism. RNAcentral describes it as "bacterial SSU rRNA". It matches the Rfam family "Bacterial small subunit ribosomal RNA", at positions 16 to 917 of the family's 1533-position model. The record is from RNAcentral.
AUUAUGGCUCAGGAUGAACGCUAGCGACAGGCUUAACACAUGCAAGUCGAGGGGCAGCGAGGGAGUGGCAACACUUCUGUCGGCGACCGGCGCACGGGUGAGUAACGCGUAUGCAACCUGCCCUUCACAGGGGGAUAACCGGGAGAAAUUCCGACUAAUACCGCAUACGUCCUCCGGGGGCAUCCCCGGGGGAUGAAAGAGUUAUCGGUGAAGGAUGGGCAUGCGUGAUAUUAGGUAGUUGGCGGGGCAACGGCCCACCAAGCCUACGAUAUCUAGGGGUUCUGAGAGGAAGGUCCCCCACAUUGGUACUGAGACACGGACCAAACUCCUACGGGAGGCAGCAGUGAGGAAUAUUGGUCAAUGGACGAGAGUCUGAACCAGCCAAGUCGCGUGAAGGAAGACGGAUCUAUGGUUUGUAAACUUCUUUAGUGCGGGAACAAAGCGGCGUCGUGACGCCGGAUGAGUGUACCGCAAGAAUAAGCAUCGGCUAACUCCGUGCCAGCAGCCGCGGUAAUACGGAGGAUGCGAGCGUUAUCCGGAUUUAUUGGGUUUAAAGGGAGCGCAGGCUGCGAGGCAAGUCAGCGGUCAAAUGUCGGGGCUCAACCCCGGCCUGCCGUUGAAACUGUCCUGCUAGAGUUCGAGUGAGGUAUGCGGAAUGCGUUGUGUAGCGGUGAAAUGCAUAGAUAUGACGCAGAACUCCGAUUGCGAAGGCAGCAUACCAACUCGCGACUGACGCUGAGGCUCGAAAGCGUGGGUAUCGAACAGGAUUAGAUACCCUGGUAGUCCACGCAGUAAACGAUGAAUACUAACUGUUCGGAGGGCGACCUCUGAGUGGUAAAGCGAAAGCGUUAAGUAUUCCACCUGGGGAGUACGCCGGCAACGGUGCAACUCAAAGGAAUUGACGGA